UGGGGAAUAUUGCACAAUGGGCGCAAGCCUGAUGCAGCCAUGCCGCGUGUGUGAAGAAGGCCUUCGGGUUGUAAGCACUUUCAGCGAGGAGGAAGGUGGUGAGCUUAAUACGCUCAUCAAUUGACGUUACUCGCAGAAGAAGCACCGGCUAACUCCGUGCCAGCAGCCGCGGUAAUACGGAGGGUGCAAGCGUUAAUCGGAAUUACUGGGCGUAAAGCGCACGCAGGCGGUUUGUUAAGUCAGAUGUGAAAUCCCCGGGCUCAACCUGGGAACUGCAUUUGAAACUGGCAAGCUAGAGUCUCGUAGAGGGGGGUAGAAAUUUCCAGGUGUAGCGGUGAAAUGCGUAGAGAUCUGGAGGAAUACCGGUGGCGAAGGCGGCCCCCUGGACGAAGACUGACGCUCAGGUGCG
Molecule: ribosomal RNA, 409 nt
Filed under: uncultured bacterium
Lineage: Bacteria
Description: partial 16S ribosomal RNA
Rfam family: Bacterial small subunit ribosomal RNA
Source: RNAcentral